RNAcentral lists this long non-coding RNA (1306 nucleotides) under Betta splendens (Siamese fighting fish). Its description in RNAcentral is "lncRNA (ENSBSLG00000016566.1)". Lineage: Eukaryota; Metazoa; Chordata; Actinopteri; Anabantiformes; Osphronemidae. The record is from RNAcentral.
CGCGUGAGAACCGUUCGGACUGAUCCUUCCCUCAGAGAGCCUGGGUUAUGAUGGAUGUGAGGCCACAGAGUUGUAAGCUGUGCCCAGCCGUCCACAGGGUUAUAGUAUGAGGCUGUCAGCAGCUGAAUUUAAAGCAAACGUCAUGUUUAAGACUUCAUGGGAGGUGAUGAUCGAUAAUCUGCUUGCUCCAUUUUCCUCUCCGUUCUCUGAACCUUCGCCCUUCGACUGCAGGGUCCGGUCCCAGACGACGGGGGCCGUCGCUGUCCUCCACAGAUCCUCGUUUUGCUUCACUAUCAGGCUCUGGCUCGCCGCAUAAAGGCCGCCAUCAUCAGAGUCGCUAACUUGGACGAGCUGGUCCACGCGUCAGCAGGAGCAGGUGAAACCAAAGCUGAUCCGUCCAAAUGUUUAGCAGGAGCGCUGUAGAAACGCGGGCUUUAUGUAAGCGGCCACACACAGCUAGCUUCUCUCUUUCAGGGGCUGCGGUGAAGUAAUUCUCUAUGGUCGCUUUUAAUGUUUAGGGGAUUAAAUGAUGUCUUGCGGGACACGAAUGCAGCAGGAGAUCAUCCCUUUUUUUAAAUGACAUUGUAGUUUAAUCCUUUACUAUUCGCAGUCCUCAGGAAAAUGUUGCAAUUUCCUCUGGAUCUCUGAGCUGACGGAUCUAAUCUUGGCUUGCAUUAGCUUGUCUGGGCAUUAUUCUUUGUUGCAGACAGCCCAUUAGAUUUCAUGGUGUCUGUUUCAUGUUCAGUAUAUCACAUACGAUCUCUUUGUUUUAUAUCAGGUUGCGUGAGUGUUUAAACAUAUUCGCAGUCAUAGAUGAGGCCGGAUUGUGUCUGCAGGGAGAUUAUUAUUACGGGUUCUAAUUGUAGGUUUUGUUGUACAGAUUACAACGUGGUGAUCAAUCUGCACCAUGAUGGAGCUGUGAUCAGCCGCAGACAAACUAAAGGAGGAUCCAGUGCCGUGUUGAAUACUUCUUUCCUGUUUGACGUGCCUGAGGGAAACAUCAGUCAGCUGCAGCUCAUGAUGGAAUUUAUAGUUGUGCAGGACAUUUGCAGAGAUCAGGUUCUCGGUCGAGUCGUGGUCGGAGCAGAAGCUGCAGAUGCGGGUCGCGCUCACUGGAGGGACACGUGCAGUCUGCAGGGGGAGCAGGUGCGAUGGCACACGCUUCAGCCAGAACCACAGCAGAGUUCUGACUCCUACGCUGGAAACGCCGUGUGAACGGGUUGAACGCAAGUGAUGCUGAUGUGACUUAUUGAGUUUACUGACACCUCUCUAAGCAAUAAAGUUAUAAAGCAUGGCCUUUAUGUCA